UACGGGGGGGGCAAGCGUUGUUCGGAAUUACUGGGCGUAAAGGGCUCGUAGGCGGCCAACUAAGUCAGACGUGAAAUCCCUCGGCUUAACCGGGGAACUGCGUCUGAUACUGGAUGGCUUGAGUUUGGGAGAGGGAUGCGGAAUUCCAGGUGUAGCGGUGAAAUGCGUAGAUAUCUGGAGGAACACCGGUGGCGAAGGCGGCAUCCUGGACCAAUUCUGACGCUGAGGCUCGAAAGCGUGGGGAGCAAACAGG
RNAcentral lists this ribosomal RNA (253 nucleotides) under uncultured bacterium. Its description in RNAcentral is "partial 16S ribosomal RNA". It matches the Rfam family "Bacterial small subunit ribosomal RNA", at positions 524 to 776 of the family's 1533-position model. The record is from RNAcentral.